GUAGGGUGCGAGCGUUAAUCGGAAUUACUGGGCGUAAAGAGUGCGUAGGCGGUCCCGCAAGUCCGCUGUGAAAGCCCCGGGCUUAACCUGGGAAUGGCAGUGGAAACUAUAGGACUUGAAUCUGGCAGAGGGGGGUGGAAUGCCACGUGUAGCAGUGAAAUGCGUAGAGAUGUGGCGGAACACCGAUGGCGAAGGCAGCCCCCUGGGCUGAGAUUGACGCUCAGGCACGAAAGCGUGGGGAGCAAACAGGAUUAGAUACCCUGGUAGUCCACGCCCUAAACGAUGACAACUAGGUGUUGGGGAAGCGAUUUCUCAGUACCGCAGCUAACGCGUGAAGUUGUCCGCCUGGGGAGUACGGUCGCAAGAUUA
This 369-nucleotide ribosomal RNA is filed under the name uncultured bacterium. RNAcentral describes it as "bacterial SSU rRNA". It matches the Rfam family "Bacterial small subunit ribosomal RNA", at positions 527 to 896 of the family's 1533-position model. The record is from RNAcentral.